RNAcentral lists this ribosomal RNA (537 nucleotides) under uncultured bacterium. Its description in RNAcentral is "partial 16S ribosomal RNA". It matches the Rfam family "Bacterial small subunit ribosomal RNA", at positions 355 to 886 of the family's 1533-position model. The record is from RNAcentral.
UGGGGAAUUUUGGACAAUGGGCGAAAGCCUGAUCCAGCAAUGCCGCGUGUGUGAAGAAGGCCUUCGGGUUGUAAAGCACUUUUGUCCGGAAAGAAAUGGCUCUGGUUAAUACCUGGGGUCGAUGACGGUACCGGAAGAAUAAGGACCGGCUAACUACGUGCCAGCAGCCGCGGUAAUACGUAGGGUCCAAGCGUUAAUCGGAAUUACUGGGCGUAAAGCGUGCGCAGGCGAUUGUGCAAGACCGAUGUGAAAUCCCCGAGCUUAACUUGGGAAUUGCAUUGGUGACUGCACGGCUAGAGUGUGUCAGAGGGGGGUAGAAUUCCACGUGUAGCAGUGAAAUGCGUAGAGAUGUGGAGGAAUACCGAUGGCGAAGGCAGCCCCCUGGGAUAACACUGACGCUCAUGCACGAAAGCGUGGGGAGCAAACAGGAUUAGAUACCCUGGUAGUCCACGCCCUAAACGAUGUCAACUAGUUGUUGGGGAUUCAUUUCCUUAGUAACGUAGCUAACGCGUGAAGUUGACCGCCUGGGAGUACGGU